RNAcentral lists this ribosomal RNA (560 nucleotides) under Aeromonas sp. Its description in RNAcentral is "bacterial SSU rRNA". It matches the Rfam family "Bacterial small subunit ribosomal RNA", at positions 798 to 1357 of the family's 1533-position model. The record is from RNAcentral. Lineage: Bacteria; Pseudomonadati; Pseudomonadota; Gammaproteobacteria; Aeromonadales; Aeromonadaceae.
GGGCCUUUACGAUGUCGAUUUGGAGGCUGUGUCCUUGAGGCGUGGCUUCCGGAGCUAACGCGUUAAAUCGACCGCCUGGGGAGUACGGCCGCAAGGUUAAAACUCAAAUGAAUUGACGGGGGCCCGCACAAGCGGUGGAGCAUGUGGUUUAAUUCGAUGCAACGCGAAGAACCUUACCUGGCCUUGACAUGUCUGGAAUCCUGCAGAGAUGCUUUGGUGCCUUCGGGAAUCAUAACACAGGUGCUGCAUGGCUGUCGUCAGCUCGUGUCGUGAAAUGUUGGGUUAAGUCCCGCAACGAGCGCAACCCCUGUCCUUUGUUGCCAGCACGUAAUGGUGGGAACUCAAGGAAAACGGCCGGUGAUAAACGGGAGAAAGGGGGGAAUAACUUCAAGUCUUCUGGGCCCUUACAGCAAGGGUUACCCACUUGCUACAAGGGCCCGAACAGAAGGCUGCAACCUACCAAAAGUGAGCGAAUCCCAAAAAUGCCGUCUAAUUCCGGAUGGAAUUCUGCACUUCACCUCCUUGAAGUCGAAUCGGCUAGUAAUCUCAAAUCGAAUGGU